UGGACCCACGGGGGCGGCGCGCGAACCCCAGGGCCUGAGGGGGCCCCGCCUCCCGGCCGGCGGGGCGCUGACGGAGGGGGGGUAGCGCACCCCGACUCCCCUGAUCACAUGGGCUGCGGGGGGGGGGGCCAGGAAGAUCGGGAGAGGGGGAGGUGCGCAGAGCCGCCCGCCGCUCCUCACCCGGGCCGGGAGAAGUCGCCCCCCGCACCCCCCCACGAGUCCGUCCUCUCCAUUCAAGUUCGCCGGGCCUUGCCGCCGGGAUCGGGGAUGGCCCCCAGCUGCCCGCCCAGCUCUGCGUCCUGUUUCCAGCCACCGCGCAGAAAUUUAGGUCAAGGACGUCGGGAGCAAACCCACACCCUGGAGCUCUUCGGGAGGCCCCCGAGACCCCCCCACCCCAGGAUCGGGAUGGAGGGGGGGCUUCAGGAUGGCGGAGAACCCCCAGCACAAACAUCAGCCACAAGUUUUAUUUUGCCUUCGCGCUGCAAGUUCGGCGCUCGCUCCACACCGGCACGUCCUGCGCGGCUCCCCGCCCUUCCCCGCAGAGGAUAGGUGGCCAGAGCACCCCUGAAGAGCGCGACUGUAGUGUCAGCCAGUGCCUCUUUUGGUUCUUUGGAGACCAAGCCCCACAGCAGUUUUGUGUGAAAUUCCCACCUUGGAGGGCCAUGGGCCCCAGCGCCCCCGUCUGGUGAAGAGAGGGAACACUUUGUUACGUUGUGGCUCCCUCUGCUGGCAGAGCAAGCGAGACUGAGUCGGCUGACAGGGCCCUGUUGCAGAGUCCCAGGCCAAAAGCUCACAGGUGGAGAGGUUUCCUGGCCUGGACACCAAGAUCCACCACAGUAGCCCACGCUGCAGUUUCUGUGAUAACCAAUCAGCUAAUUCCAAGUGGCUGAAAAGACUAAAGAAGAGGAGAGGAAGAAAUCGCUGUACUCUCUGAGGAGGGAAUUCAAAUAGGACAAAAUCAAAUCUAUUUAGCCAAACAUAGUGUGGACACACAUAGAGGAAUGGAGGGGGAAAGGAAAAGAAGUAUUAGAUGUGAAGGCAAUAAAGGAUGGAGUGCAGCACAAAUUGCCGAACAAGACAUUCGUGCUAAAAAUAAUGUUGCUUGCAGAGAGCAUGAGAAAUAAAAGUGUGGCCGUGUCCAGGGGCAAGAGGCACAAGAGGAUCCGUGUCUCAACACCCAGAAUUAGAACAAGAUGAAGAUAGGACCAUCACUUAAGAAGAGUGGGAAUGAACAUGAAAAUAAUUUGAAGUGAACCAGAAAAUUAAUUCUGUCACCAUCCUCUUACUUCUGUGGGUCUGAUGAUGCGGAAGCCCCCUGGACAGUGGGUGGCCAUGCCCUCUGGGUUGUAAACAUCCCCCCAAGGCCCCGUCACCCAUUCAGCAAAUGCCAACUGAGAAAGGAGGGCAAGACCUAGUUUUGUAUCUACUAGGCUGGGUCACAGAUAAUCAUGAGCAUUCAGAAAAUCAAUUGCCCAAGUGGCUGAUGGGGAGCCCUGUCCUGACGGAAGGCGGGCAUGAGGAAGACCUGGGGGUGUUAGCUGAUCGCAAGCUUGAUGUGAACCUACAGCGCGAGGAGGCUGUUGAGAACCCUAAUGCAAUCUUCGGCUCUAUUAAUAGCACAGCAGAGUGUGGAAGGAGGGAAGCAAUAAUCCCAGUGCGUGCUGGCGGGUCAGGCCACAUGCAGCUUUAUGCUCGGUCCUGCGGGCUAUAUUUUAAGAACAGCUCUAGCAAAUUCAAGCCUGUUCAGAUGAGCAUGAAAAGGACUGGAUGUCGGUAUGUAGGCAGCAUAGCGAUGAGCUUUACAAUCCUUUUACAAUUGGCAAUAUCAGAAUGAUUAUUGCACCAAAGCCUCGGAGCCUCCAGAGCCAGUACCAGGAAGCUUGUUUCCAGUAUUUACUUAACCUUGAGCUUAGGGUCCUCUACCCAUACACGAAGGGUAAUCCUCUACCCAGACUGUCUCCAAGCAUCUCUCAAGGAGAGUCCACUCAUCCGGGCCAGUGUGUCCUGAGCAUGGACAGAGGGCCCAGCUGUUUGCUGGGCAGGGUCACAAAGAGAGUCCAACUGCCUGUCUUUGAAGACCCUGAAGUCUAGUAGGGCAGACAGGCCCAUAAAGGAGUACUUUGCAGACAGUGUGACACAUGAUGAUGGAUACACGCAUAGAUUUGAGAUGAGAUGUAAUUAAUUUGUUAGAGGGAAAGAGUGACAAGAGAGAAAAACAGAGUCCUUGUAGAAGGUAUACUUUCAAGGGCAGAAGGAAGACAAGGAAUGACCAGAGGUCAGGAAAGAAGAUCCAUGAAUGAGGAAAAAUUAGAACCAGGAAAGCUCAAGGUCACGAGAGACAGGUGAAAGGUCUCCACAGUGUCAGAAGCAUCAAGAAGUCAUGAAGGAGGCGGAAAAGGAAGGUUAACACAUUUCUAGACUGUUCGCAGAUGUGGAGAUUAGGAGUACAUUUGUGGUGGUCAGGAGAAACCUUUCGGGAAAAUAAUGAAGGCAGGGAAUGUUUUCAUUGAAGAAGUUUGUGGAAGAGUGCAUUUAUUGGGCACUUACUACAUAGCUAGCAUGCUGAGAGUCGAAAAAGCAAAAGACUUUGCUGGAGCCCAUCUCAGUGUUGGUUGCUGGGGCGGGGGGGGGCCAGACACAAUGGGGUUUCCUGGGUGUUUGGCCGACGCAGUCACCUAUGGAGGCCGGGAGACAGAAUGAUGCCUGCCAUACCCCAAAUGUGGCCAAGCUCAUCCUUUCCUUCCCCUCUCCCUGAUUCUUGGGCGGUUUCCUUUCCCAGAAGCAUCCCCCAGCACGGCGCUUGUCUUAACAUCCCGCGUGUUUGCUCCCAUUCUGUUAUUUACUGGUGAAAUUAAUAUUAGUCUUUACCCUGCUCACAUUCCAGAUCCAACACGCAUUUUUUCAUCAGUGGGCUUGUGUUUGGUUGAUUAGUUAUUCAUGUGUAAUGUAAGACGACAACAGCUGUAAUACAGAGAAAUGAUUGCGGAGAAGGCAGGCGUGUGCGCUCCGGGCUUGGCUUCUUUUUUCUUUUCUUUGUGGAGGUGGGUGGGUCGGCAGGUUAGUAAAGGCAUCUGGAUCACUUGCAGACGGUGGAAACUCACCCCUUACUAAACCAGUAAUGGAAGCAAACGAGGGGCACUGGAAACAAACAGCAGCGGCCCCUCAGUCUCCCUGAUCUCCGCCACAAGCACCUCAUCAGCUUCCUGACCUGUCCCCACGGUCGCCAGACCCAAGGCCUUGUCUUUUCUUUUUCCAGUGCUGGGGGUUGACCUCAAGGCCUCCUGUAUGCCAGGUAACCACUCUUCCACUGCGCUGUAUCGCAGCCUUUUAAAUUUUAUUUUGAGACAAGGUCUUGCUAAGUUCCCAGGCUGGCCUCAAACUUGGCAUCCUUUUGCAUCAGCCUCCUAAGACCAAGGUCUUUUCUGGCCCACAGCACUCUCUAAAGUCGCCUCUCCACCCGUUAUUUUCUUCUUUUUGGGGGGACCAGGGAUCGAACUCGGGACCUUGCGCUGACAAGGCAAGCAGCGGAACCACUAAGCUAAAUCCCCGGCCCCUCCACCCAUUACUUUCUAAUCCCUCUCCUUAUUUAUUUCCUCCAUGACACCAAACACCGUGUGAAGUUAUGUUGCUUUUUUAUUCCUUGACUGGAGAAUUACCUGGAAACCCCACAGAAGCAGUGUCUCACCUCUGUUGUGUCUUACUGCACCUCUGAUACCUUCAACGAAGCCAGCACGAGCCCUUCUCACUCUCUGAAAUUACCGUGUAAUUUCUGUGUCCUUGCUAAUCACCUGCUACCCACUUCCGUCCACACAAGCAGGGACCUCACCUGUCGUGUUCACUGCUCGGGCCCAACACACAGUGGCUGGAAGACAUUGGCUGAAGAAGUGAUUUUAGACAGAAAGAGAAAGCAACAGUUGAGAUGAACACAAAGUGCGAAUGAAAUGUACAGAUAUGAAUGCAUUCACACACACAUAAAAUCAAGCUACAGAGAAAUUUUUUCUUUCUUUUUUUUUGCGGGG
RNAcentral lists this long non-coding RNA (4019 nucleotides) under Heterocephalus glaber (naked mole-rat). RNAcentral describes it as "lncRNA (ENSHGLG00100036155.1)". Lineage: Eukaryota; Metazoa; Chordata; Mammalia; Rodentia; Bathyergidae. The record is from RNAcentral.